CCGGCGAUGUCCGAAUGGGGAAACCCAGUGCAAUUCGUUGCACUAUCGUUAACUGAAUACAUAGGUUAACGAGGCGAACCGGGGGAACUGAAACAUCUAAGUACCCCGAGGAAAAGAAAUCAACCGAGAUUCCCCCAGUAGCGGCGAGCGAACGGGGAGCAGCCCAGAGUCUGAAUCAGCUUGUGUGUUAGUGGAACGGUCUGGAAAGUCCGACGGUACAGGGUGAUAGUCCCGUACACCAAAAUGCACAGGCUGUGAACUCGAAGAGUAGGGCGGGACACGUGGUAUCCUGUCUGAAUAUGGGGGGACCAUCCUCCAAGGCUAAAUACUCCUGACUGACCGAUAGUGAACCAGUACCGUGAGGGAAAGGCGAAAAGAACCCCGGCGAGGGGAGUGAAAAAGAACCUGAAACCGUGUACGUACAAGCAGUGGGAGCACCUUCGGGUGUGACUGCGUACCUUUUGUAUAAUGGGUCAGCGACUUAUAUUCUGUAGCAAGGUUAACCGUAUAGGGGAGCCGCAGGGAAACCGAGUCUUAACUGGGCGUUAAGUUGCAGGGUAUAGACCCGAAACCCGGUGAUCUAGCCAUGGGCAGGUUGAAGGUUGGGUAACACUAACUGGAGGACCGAACCGACUAAUGUUGAAAAAUUAGCGGAUGACUUGUGGCUGGGGGUGAAAGGCCAAUCAAACCGGGAGAUAGCUGGUUCUCCCCGAAAGCUAUUUAGGUAGCGCCUCGUGAAUUCAUCUUCGGGGGUAGAGCACUGUUUCGGCUAGGGGGUCAUCCCGACUUACCAACCCGAUGCAAACUACGAAUACCGAAGAAUGUUAUCACGGGAGACACACGGCGGGUGCUAACGUCCGUCGUGAAGAGGGAAACAACCCAGACCGCCAGCUAAGGUCCCAAAGUCAUGGUUAAGUGGGAAACGAUGUGGGAAGGCACAGACAGCCAGGAUGUUGGCUUAGAAGCAGCCAUCAUUUAAAGAAAGCGUAAUAGCUCACUGGUCGAGUCGGCCUGCGCGGAAGAUGUAACGGGGCUAAACCAUGCACCGAAGCUGCGGCAGCGACACUAUGUGUUGUUGGGUAGGGGAGCGUUCUGUAAGCCUGCGAAGGUGUGCUGUGAGGCAUGCUGGAGGUAUCAGAAGUGCGAAUGCUGACAUAAGUAACGAUAAAGCGGGUGAAAAGCCCGCUCGCCGGAAGACCAAGGGUUCCUGUCCAACGUUAAUCGGGGCAGGGUGAGUCGACCCCUAAGGCGAGGCCGAAAGGCGUAGUCGAUGGGAAACAGGUUAAUAUUCCUGUACUUGGUGUUACUGCGAAGGGGGGACGGAGAAGGCUAUGUUAGCCGGGCGACGGUUGUCCCGGUUUAAGCAUGUAGGCUGGUUAUCCAGGCAAAUCCGGAUAAUCAAGGCUGAGGUGUGAUGACGAGGCACUACGGUGCUGAAGUAACAAAUGCCCUGCUUCCAGGAAAAGCCUCUAAGCAUCAGGUAACAUCAAAUCGUACCCCAAACCGACACAGGUGGUCAGGUAGAGAAUACCAAGGCGCUUGAGAGAACUCGGGUGAAGGAACUAGGCAAAAUGGUGCCGUAACUUCGGGAGAAGGCACGCUGGUGUGUAGGUGAAGUCCCUGCGGAUGGAGCUGAGACCAGUCGAAGAUACCAGCUGGCUGCAACUGUUUAUUAAAAACACAGCACUGUGCAAACACGAAAGUGGACGUAUACGGUGUGACGCCUGCCCGGUGCCGGAAGGUUAAUUGAUGGGGUUAUCCGUAAGGAGAAGCUCUUGAUCGAAGCCCCGGUAAACGGCGGCCGUAACUAUAACGGUCCUAAGGUAGCGAAAUUCCUUGUCGGGUAAGUUCCGACCUGCACGAAUGGCGUAAUGAUGGCCAGGCUGUCUCCACCCGAGACUCAGUGAAAUUGAACUCGCUGUGAAGAUGCAGUGUACCCGCGGCAAGACGGAAAGACCCCGUGAACCUUUACUAUAGCUUGACACUGAACAUUGAGCCUUGAUGUGUAGGAUAGGUGGGAGGCUUUGAAGCGUGGACGCCAGUCUGCGUGGAGCCAACCUUGAAAUACCACCCUUUAAUGUUUGAUGUUCUAACGUUGGCCCCUUACCGGGGUUGCGGACAGUGUCUGGUGGGUAGUUUGACUGGGGCGGUCUCCUCCCAAAGCGUAACGGAGGAGCACGAAGGUUAGCUAAUCCUGGUCGGACAUCAGGAGGUUAGUGCAAUGGCAUAAGCUAGCUUGACUGCGAGCGUGACGGCGCGAGCAGGUGCGAAAGCAGGUCAUAGUGAUCCGGUGGUUCUGAAUGGAAGGGCCAUCGCUCAACGGAUAAAAGGUACUCCGGGGAUAACAGGCUGAUACCGCCCAAGAGUUCAUAUCGACGGCGGUGUUUGGCACCUCGAUGUCGGCUCAUCACAUCCUGGGGCUGAAGUAGGUCCCAAGGGUAUGGCUGUUCGCCAUUUAAAGUGGUACGCGAGCUGGGUUUAGAACGUCGUGAGACAGUUCGGUCCCUAUCUGCCGUGGGCGCUGGAGAAUUGAGGGGGGCUGCUCCUAGUACGAGAGGACCGGAGUGGACGCAUCACUGGUGUUCGGGUUGUCAUGCCAAUGGCACUGCCCGGUAGCUAAAUGCGGAAGAGAUAAGUGCUGAAAGCAUCUAAGCACGAAACUUGCCCCGAGAUGAGUUCUCCCUGAGACUUUAAGUCUCCUGAAGGAACGUU
This 2712-nucleotide ribosomal RNA is filed under the name Klebsiella pneumoniae. RNAcentral's name for it is "partial 23S ribosomal RNA". It matches the Rfam family "Bacterial large subunit ribosomal RNA". Lineage: Bacteria; Pseudomonadati; Pseudomonadota; Gammaproteobacteria; Enterobacterales; Enterobacteriaceae. The record is from RNAcentral.